GAUGAACGCUGGCGGCGUGCCUAAUACAUGCAAGUCGAGCGAACGGACGAGAAGCUUGCUUCUCUGAUGUUAGCGGCGGACGGGUGAGUCACACGUGGAUAACCUACCUAUAAGACUGGGAUAACUUCGGGAAACCGGAGCUAAUACCGGAUAAUAUUUUGAACCGCAUGGUUCAUAAGUGAAAGACGGUCUUGCUGUCACUUAUAGAUGGAUCCGCGCUGCAUUAGCUAGUUGGUAAGGUAACGGCUUACCAAGGCAACGAUGCAUAGCCGACCUGAGAGGGUGAUCGGCCACACUGGAACUGAGACACGGUCCAGACUCCUGCGGGAGGCAGCAGUAGGGUAUCUUCCGCAGUGGGCGAAAGCCUUACGGAGCGGCGCCGCGUGAGUGAUGAAGGUCUUCGGAGCGUAAAGCUCUGUUAUUAGGGAAGAACAUAUGUGUAAGUAAAUGUGCACAUCGUGACGGUACCGAGUAAGAAAGCAACGGCUAACUACGUG
This 497-nucleotide ribosomal RNA is filed under the name uncultured bacterium. RNAcentral describes it as "partial 16S ribosomal RNA". It matches the Rfam family "Bacterial small subunit ribosomal RNA", at positions 28 to 507 of the family's 1533-position model. The record is from RNAcentral.